UACGUAGGGGGCAAGCGUUGUCCGGAUUUAUUGGGCGUAAAGAGCGUGUAGGCGGCCAGACAGGUCAGCUGUGAAAACUCGAGGCUCAACCUCGAGACGUCGGUUGAAACCGUCUGGCUAGAGUCCGGAAGAGGAGAGUGGAAUUCCCGGUGUAGCGGUGAAAUGCGCAGAUAUCGGGAAGAACACCCGUGGCGAAGGCGGCUCUCUGGGCCUUUCCUGACGCUGAGACGCGAAAGCGUGGGGAGCGAACAGG
RNAcentral lists this ribosomal RNA (253 nucleotides) under uncultured bacterium. RNAcentral describes it as "partial 16S ribosomal RNA". It matches the Rfam family "Bacterial small subunit ribosomal RNA", at positions 524 to 776 of the family's 1533-position model. The record is from RNAcentral.